CAAAAACAUCGCCUCUUGAGGAAAGAACAUGAGAGGUUGUACCUGCCCUAUGGCUUCAUAAGGUGAAGUUAAAUGGUUGCAGCUAAAUGCUGUACUAAGGUAGCGUAAUAAGUUGCCUCUUAAUUGGGGGCUAGAAUGAAGGGUUUGACGUAAAAAAGUUUGUCUCCAAAAUAAAAGUAUGAAGUUUUCUUUUCAGUGAAAAGUCUGAUAUAAUGGUAAAAGACGAGAAGACCCUGUCGAGCUUGAUAAAACAUACAAAAAAUAGUGUAUUAAUAAGUUUAGCUGGGGCAGUUCGGAACAAAAAAAAGUUUCGUUUAUAUAAUAGAGAUCCGACUCAUGUCGAAUGAAGAAAAAGCUACCGCAGGGAUAACAGCGCUAUUCCUCUUGAGAGGACUAAUUGAAGGGGGAGAUUGCGACCUCGAUGUUGGAUUAAGGUUACUUUCUGGUGCAGCCGUUAGAGUAGUAAGACUGUUCGUCUUUUAAUACCUUA
Molecule: ribosomal RNA, 490 nt
Filed under: Solen grandis (grand razor shell)
Lineage: Eukaryota; Metazoa; Mollusca; Bivalvia; Adapedonta; Solenidae
Description: partial 16S ribosomal RNA
Rfam family: Bacterial large subunit ribosomal RNA
Source: RNAcentral